UACGUAGGGUGCAAGCGUUGUCCGGAAUUAUUGGGCGUAAAGAGCUCGUAGGCGGUCCGUCACGUCGGCUGUGAAAACCUGGGGCUCAACCCCGGGCCUGCAGCCGAUACGGGCGGACUAGAAUUCGGUAGGGGAGACUGGAAUUCCUGGUGUAGCGGUGAAAUGCGCAGAUAUCAGGAGGAACACCGGUGGCGAAGGCGGCAUCCUGGACCAUUACUGACGCUGAGGAGCGAAAGCCAGGGGAGCAAACGGG
This 253-nucleotide ribosomal RNA is filed under the name uncultured bacterium. RNAcentral describes it as "partial 16S ribosomal RNA". It matches the Rfam family "Bacterial small subunit ribosomal RNA", at positions 524 to 776 of the family's 1533-position model. The record is from RNAcentral.